AUUGAACGCUGGCGGCAGGCCUAACACAUGCAAGUCGAGCGAGCGGCGGACGGGUGAGUAAUGUAUGGGGACUGCCCGAUAGAGGGGGAUAACUACUGGAAACGGUGGCUAAUACCGCAUACUGUCGCAUCACCCAUAUGGGAUUAGCUAGUGGGUAAGGUAAUGGCUUACCUAGGCGACGAUCCCUAGCUGGUCUGAGAGGAUGAUCACCGACACUGGGAAUGGGACACGGCCCAGUCUCCUACGGAAGGAACAGUGGAGAAUGUAGCACAAUGGGCGCAAACCUAGUGCAGCCAUGACGCGUGUAUGAAGAAGGCCCUGGGGUUUUAAAGUACUUUCAGUCGGGAGGCGUUACCGACAGAAGAAGCACCGGCUAACUCCGUGCCAGCAGCCGCGGUAAUUC
This 403-nucleotide ribosomal RNA is filed under the name uncultured bacterium. Its description in RNAcentral is "partial 16S ribosomal RNA". It matches the Rfam family "Bacterial small subunit ribosomal RNA", at positions 30 to 526 of the family's 1533-position model. The record is from RNAcentral.